RNAcentral lists this ribosomal RNA (500 nucleotides) under uncultured bacterium. RNAcentral describes it as "partial 16S ribosomal RNA". It matches the Rfam family "Bacterial small subunit ribosomal RNA", at positions 30 to 523 of the family's 1533-position model. The record is from RNAcentral.
AUUGAACGCUGGCGGAAUGCUUUACACAUGCAAGUCGAACGAUGAACCUUAGCUUGCUAAGGGGAUUAGUGGCGAACGGGUGAGUAAUGUAUCGGAACGUAUCCAAUAAUGGGGGAUAACUAGUCGAAAGAUUAGCUAAUACCGCAUACGUCCUACGGGAGAAAGCUAGGGACCUUCGGGCCUGGCGUUAAUGGAGCGGCCGAUAUCUGAUUAGCUAGUUGGUGGGGUAAAGGCUCACCAAGGCGACGAUCAGUAGCUGGUCUGAGAGGACGACCAGCCACACUGGAACUGAGACACGGUCCAGACUCCUACGGGAGGCAGCAGUGGGGAAUUUUGGACAAUGGGCGAAAGCCUGAUCCAGCCAUUCCGCGUGAGUGAGGAAGGCCUUCGGGUUGUAAAGCUCUUUCGCAAGGGAAGAAAACUUAAGCUCUAACAUAGCUUGAGGUUGACGGUACCUUGAUAAGAAGCACCGGCUAACUACGUGCCAGCAGCAGCCGCAG